GGGUUGUGAGGUUAAGCGACUAAGCGUACACGGUGGAUGCCCUGGCAGUCAGAGGCGAUGAAGGACGUGCUAAUCUGCGAUAAGCGUCGGUGAGGUGAUAUGAACCGUUAUAACCGGCGAUUUCCGAAUGGGGAAACCCAGUGUGUUUCGACACACUAUCAUUAACUGAAUCCAUAGGUUAAUGAGGCGAACCGGGGGAACUGAAACAUCUAAGUACCCCGAGGAAAAGAAAUCAACCGAGAUUCCCCCAGUAGCGGCGAGCGAACGGGGAGGAGCCCAGAGCCUGAAUCAGUGUGUGUGUUAGUGGAAGCGUCUGGAAAGGCGCGCGAUACAGGGUGACAGCCCCGUACACAAAAAUGCACAUAUUGUGAGCUCGAUGAGUAGGGCGGGACACGUGGUAUCCUGUCUGAAUAUGGGGGGACCAUCCUCCAAGGCUAAAUACUCCUGACUGACCGAUAGUGAACCAGUACCGUGAGGGAAAGGCGAAAAGAACCCCGGCGAGGGGAGUGAAAAAGAACCUGAAACCGUGUACGUACAAGCAGUGGGAGCCUCUUUAUGGGGUGACUGCGUACCUUUUGUAUAAUGGGUCAGCGACUUAUAUUCUGUAGCAAGGUUAACCGAAUAGGGGAGCCGAAGGGAAACCGAGUCUUAACUGGGCGUUAAGUUGCAGGGUAUAGACCCGAAACCCGGUGAUCUAGCCAUGGGCAGGUUGAAGGUUGGGUAACACUAACUGGAGGACCGAACCGACUAAUGUUGAAAAAUUAGCGGAUGACUUGUGGCUGGGGGUGAAAGGCCAAUCAAACCGGGAGAUAGCUGGUUCUCCCCGAAAGCUAUUUAGGUAGCGCCUCGUGAAUUCAUCUCCGGGGGUAGAGCACUGUUUCGGCAAGGGGGUCAUCCCGACUUACCAACCCGAUGCAAACUGCGAAUACCGGAGAAUGUUAUCACGGGAGACACACGGCGGGUGCUAACGUCCGUCGUGAAGAGGGAAACAACCCAGACCGCCAGCUAAGGUCCCAAAGUCAUGGUUAAGUGGGAAACGAUGUGGGAAGGCCCAGACAGCCAGGAUGUUGGCUUAGAAGCAGCCAUCAUUUAAAGAAAGCGUAAUAGCUCACUGGUCGAGUCGGCCUGCGCGGAAGAUGUAACGGGGCUAAACCAUGCACCGAAGCUGCGGCAGCGACACUAUGUGUUGUUGGGUAGGGGAGCGUUCUGUAAGCCUGUGAAGGUGGCCUGUGAGGGUUGCUGGAGGUAUCAGAAGUGCGAAUGCUGACAUAAGUAACGAUAAAGCGGGUGAAAAGCCCGCUCGCCGGAAGACCAAGGGUUCCUGUCCAACGUUAAUCGGGGCAGGGUGAGUCGACCCCUAAGGCGAGGCCGAAAGGCGUAGUCGAUGGGAAACAGGUUAAUAUUCCUGUACUUGGUGUUACUGCGAAGGGGGGACGGAGAAGGCUAUGUUGGCCGGGCGACGGUUGUCCCGGUUUAAGCGUGUAGGCUGGUUUUCCAGGCAAAUCCGGAAAACCAAGGCUGAGGCGUGAUGACGAGGCACUACGGUGCUGAAGCGACAAAUGCCCUGCUUCCAGGAAAAGCCUCUAAGCAUCAGGUAACAUCAAAUCGUACCCCAAACCGACACAGGUGGUCAGGUAGAGAAUACCAAGGCGCUUGAGAGAACUCGGGUGAAGGAACUAGGCAAAAUGGUGCCGUAACUUCGGGAGAAGGCACGCUGAUAUGUAGGUGAAGCGACUUGCUCGUGGAGCUGAAAUCAGUCGAAGAUACCAGCUGGCUGCAACUGUUUAUUAAAAACACAGCACUGUGCAAACACGAAAGUGGACGUAUACGGUGUGACGCCUGCCCGGUGCCGGAAGGUUAAUUGAUGGGGUUAGCGGUAACGCGAAGCUCUUGAUCGAAGCCCCGGUAAACGGCGGCCGUAACUAUAACGGUCCUAAGGUAGCGAAAUUCCUUGUCGGGUAAGUUCCGACCUGCACGAAUGGCGUAAUGAUGGCCAGGCUGUCUCCACCCGAGACUCAGUGAAAUUGAACUCGCUGUGAAGAUGCAGUGUACCCGCGGCAAGACGGAAAGACCCCGUGAACCUUUACUAUAGCUUGACACUGAACAUUGAGCCUUGAUGUGUAGGAUAGGUGGGAGGCUUUGAAGUGUGGACGCCAGUCUGCAUGGAGCCGACCUUGAAAUACCACCCUUUAAUGUUUGAUGUUCUAACGUUGGCCCGUAAUCCGGGUUGCGGACAGUGUCUGGUGGGUAGUUUGACUGGGGCGGUCUCCUCCUAAAGAGUAACGGAGGAGCACGAAGGUUGGCUAAUCCUGGUCGGACAUCAGGAGGUUAGUGCAAUGGCAUAAGCCAGCUUGACUGCGAGCGUGACGGCGCGAGCAGGUGCGAAAGCAGGUCAUAGUGAUCCGGUGGUUCUGAAUGGAAGGGCCAUCGCUCAACGGAUAAAAGGUACUCCGGGGAUAACAGGCUGAUACCGCCCAAGAGUUCAUAUCGACGGCGGUGUUUGGCACCUCGAUGUCGGCUCAUCACAUCCUGGGGCUGAAGUAGGUCCCAAGGGUAUGGCUGUUCGCCAUUUAAAGUGGUACGCGAGCUGGGUUUAGAACGUCGUGAGACAGUUCGGUCCCUAUCUGCCGUGGGCGCUGGAGAACUGAGGGGGGCUGCUCCUAGUACGAGAGGACCGGAGUGGACGCAUCACUGGUGUUCGGGUUGUCAUGCCAAUGGCACUGCCCGGUAGCUAAAUGCGGAAGAGAUAAGUGCUGAAAGCAUCUAAGCACGAAACUUGCCCCGAGAUGAGUUCUCCCUGACUCCUUGAGAGUCCU
This 2816-nucleotide ribosomal RNA is filed under the name Escherichia coli. Its description in RNAcentral is "partial 23S ribosomal RNA". It matches the Rfam family "Bacterial large subunit ribosomal RNA". The record is from RNAcentral. Lineage: Bacteria; Pseudomonadati; Pseudomonadota; Gammaproteobacteria; Enterobacterales; Enterobacteriaceae.